This 495-nucleotide ribosomal RNA is filed under the name uncultured bacterium. Its description in RNAcentral is "bacterial SSU rRNA". It matches the Rfam family "Bacterial small subunit ribosomal RNA", at positions 15 to 507 of the family's 1533-position model. The record is from RNAcentral.
GAUCCUGGCUCAGAUUGAACGCUGGCGGAAUGCUUUACACAUGCAAGUCGAACGGCAGCACGGGAGCUUGCUCCUGGUGGCGAGUGGCGAACGGGUGAGUAAUAUAUCGGAACGUAUCCAAUAAUGGGGGAUAACUAAUCGAAAGGUUGGCUAAUACCGCAUACGCCCUACGGGGGAAAGCAGGGGAUCGUAAGACCUUGCGUUAAUGGAGCGGCCGAUAUCUGAUUAGCUAGUUGGUGGGGUAAAGGCCCACCAAGGCUUUGAUCAGUAGCUGGUCUGAGAGGACGACCAGCCGCACUGGAACUGAGACACGGUCCAGACUCCUACGGGAGGCAGCAGUGGGGAAUUUUGGACAAUGGGGGCAACCCUGAUCCAGCCAUUCCGCGUGAGUGAAGAAGGCCUUCGGGUUGUAAAGCUCUUUCGCAAGGGAAGAAAACUUAUCCAUUAACACCGGGUGAGGCGACGGUACUUAUAAGAAGCACGGCUAACUACGUC